UCCCUGGUGGCUCAGUUGGUAAAGAAUCUGCCUGCAAAGCAAGAAGCCCAGGUUCUAUCCCUGGCUUGGGAA
RNAcentral lists this transfer RNA (72 nucleotides) under Ovis aries (sheep). It matches the Rfam family "tRNA". Rfam says of the family: Transfer RNA (tRNA) molecules are approximately 80 nucleotides in length. Their secondary structure includes four short double-helical elements and three loops (D, anti-codon, and T loops). The record is from Rfam by way of RNAcentral. Lineage: Eukaryota; Metazoa; Chordata; Mammalia; Artiodactyla; Bovidae.